Molecule: long non-coding RNA, 3657 nt
Filed under: Panax ginseng (ginseng)
Lineage: Eukaryota; Viridiplantae; Streptophyta; Magnoliopsida; Apiales; Araliaceae
Description: long non-coding RNA (PGIN_LNC011423)
Source: RNAcentral
GUGUCCAAGUCUCAUUAGUUUUGCAAGAUUGGCUAAAUCUAAGAGAGAGAAUGGGUGAGAAAAUGAGGGGCGGAUGAGAGUAAGGAGGAGAUAAGCAUAUGAUUUUUUUUUUGGAGAUUUCCUAAGAUCCCUAAAGAUAAGAGAGAGAGAGAAAUAAAAGAUAUAUAGAGAGAAAGAAAAUAAAAAGAAGAAAGAGAACCCAAGAGAGGGCCGUGGGUUUCCAAAGGAAAGGAAGAGUUCUUCUUCAUGCCAUCUAAGUUCCUAAGUUUCUUGGAAGAAGAAAGAUAGCAUCAAAGCAAGGUAUAAAAAUCCUUAAACACAAAACUCUAAUUAGUUUGUGUUUGAUUUUUGUCAAAAUAAUGAGUUAUGAUCUUGAACUCUAAAUGCCUUAGAUCUACAUGUUUUAUAGUGUAUUAUGUAUAGAUCUAAUCAUUUUGGAUGCUAACAAGCUUGAUCAAGAGAAAGAAAAGCAAAACAGUUUUUAAAAAACUUAGAAAAUUAGUGGAUUGCUGCCCCUAAAUAGAAAAUUUGGGGUUAGCUAGAUUGUUCAGAAAAUUUUGGGCCAUAGACUCUGGAACAAACUAAUUUCGACUUCGGAGUAAAGAGUUAUGCCAUUUCAAAGUAGUAGAGUCGAAGCUGUCCAAGAAAUGCGGUGCAAUCUCCUUGCAAGGAAUUUCUGGGCUGAUAUGUUCGGAAUCUGGAAAAAAGUCAGAUGGGAAGACUUGUGGUCCCAGAAUUUAGCUUCGCGUGGGCUUAAGAAUCGCCUAAAAAUAAUUUAAAACGAAAAAGUUAUGAAUAUUUUAGUGCAAGAGGGUCAAGCUGGAAAAAAUUUAAAAACUAUUACGAGUGAACAUUUUUGGGGCUUGGUUUAGGUUGCCUAUGAGGUCUGAAAUUGGUGGGUUAUAUUUUUUAAAAAUAGUCUACCAUGGUACCUACAACAUAUCCAAAAAUGGAAUCAAUCCGAUUAACGAGCGGUGCGUACAAAAAUUGCAAAGUGGCUAAUCUGUUAUGCGAGCAUAAAAAUGUUAAGAAUUUAGCUAAUCUGUUGUGGUCCCAGAAUUUAUCUUCGCGUGGGCUUAAGAAUUGCCUAAAAAUAUUUAAAACGAAAAAGUUAUGAAUAUUUUAGUGCAAGAGGGUCAAGCUGGAAAAAAUUUGAAAACUAUUACGAGUGAACAUUUUUGGGGCUUGGUUUAGGUUGCCUAUGAGGUCUAAAAUUGGUGGGUUAUAUUUUUUAAAAAUAGUCUACCAUGGUACCUACAACAUAUCCAAAAAUGGAAUCAAUCCGAUUAACGAGCGGUGCGUACAAAAAUUGCAAAGUGGCUAAUCUGUAUGCGAGCACGGCAGAGCACUAGCAACAGUUAGGCAGCGCCCCCGCGCGCCUGAUGGCAGCGCCUGCGAGGGCCUGCCCAGCCGCGCGGCGCCAUGCUGAGCUAUUGUCUGACAUCCUUUUAGAGGGUUGUUUUAACGAGCUUUCGUGUAUUGUUUUCGAGGUGUGAAUUUUUUCUAAAAUACUAUACCAUGAGGUCUAUAACAUGCCCAAAAUUUCGCUGUUAUAUUACUUAUGAUUUGAGAAUUAAAAAUGAGCGAAGGAGCAUGUCAGAACUUAAAAUUUGAGCGACGCUAAGCGUCGACGCGUCGUGCGUUUUUGACGUUUGACGUUCCGAAUCGCGUUCCGACGAAAUAAUAAGUCAUAAUAAAUCUAAUAAAGUCCUACUAGGCGAGAUUUGACUAUAAGUGAUAUUUUAUGCCGAAAAAUUUCUUUUAGACAUAAAUAAAGCAAUAAAAAUAUGUAAUAAAUAUAAAUUUAUAUAUUUAAGCAAGAGAAAAUUUAAGGUUGCCUAUAAAAUUAUUUUGUGGUGCAACAAAGAACGUGAAACCUUUGAAAAAUUGUAUUAAUCAUAAAAAUGAUAUUUUAAGGUUUUCGGAGUUCAAAAUGAGAUUUUUGAGCUGAGAUUUAUGUAACGAAGUAUAUAUAUAUAUANNNNNNNNNNNNNNNNNNNNNNNNNNNNNNNNNNNNNNNNNNNNNNNNNNNNNNNNNNNNNNNNNNNNNNNNNNNNNNNNNNNNNNNNNNNNNNNNNNNNUAUAAAGUGAAAAUGCGAAUAUUCGUAAAAUGAAAAAUAAAGCGAAUGUGCUAGCAGAAUAAAAUAUGUAUAUAUGAGGCAACGGUCCGUGUUGACACAUGAAUAGACAAAAUGAUAUAAAAAUUAUUUAAAUUAAAGAAAUAAUAUAGUAAAUUGAAUUUUACUAUAAAAGCUAUCUAUUAGUUGUUUAAACCCCGAAUUUGUGAGUAAAGGUAAAAUAUAUUUUUGAAAUGGAAUAAAAAUAGUUUAAGCUUCAAGACGUAAAAUAUUUACAUCUUAAAAUGUGAAGUGAUUGAAAUAUUAUUAAAUGGUUAAUAACAUUAGAUAUGGAUUAAAAUAUUAUUAAAUUAUUAAUAAUAUUAGUGAUUAAUUAAAAUAUUAUUAAAAGAUUAAUCAUAUUAGUUAAGAAUUAAAUUAUUAUUAAAGGAUUAAUAAUAUUAGUGUUUGAUUUGAAUAUUAUUAAAGGGUUAAUAAUAUUGGUAAAUUAUUAAAAUAUUAUUAAAUUAUUAAUAAUAUUAGUGUUUGAUUUGAAUAUUAUUAAAGGGUUAAUAAUAUUGGUAAAUUAUUAAAAUAUUAUUAAAUGAUUAAUAAUAUUAAUAAUAUUUAUGAAUGAUUAAUAUCCUAUUAAAUGAUUAAUAAAGUUAAGAAGUGAUUGAAUAUUAUUAAGUGAUUAAUAAUAUUAAGUGACUAAAAUAUUAUUAAAGGAUUAACAAUAUUAGACAAGAGUUUAAGCUAAUGGUUAAGUGAUAGUAAUAUUACUAAGGGAUAAUAAAAUUACUAAUGAGUUAAAGAAAGAAAUAUUCAAUGUUUGAUUAUGUGGCUAAAUGUUAGCUAAUUUAUUAUUCAAGUAAUAGUAUUGUGAGAUAAAGUAUGAUAUGUUAAUUGAAACAUCAAUCUUAUAACUGAUAGGUCUUUCAUAAGAGAUUAAAUUAGAUUACGUAGCAGUAAUCGACGGUACAUACAAGUUUUCUAAUUUAAACUAGAGUUAAUAUUUUCAAGAAUGCUAGUGGUUUAAUUAUUGUCAAUUAUUCCAUAUCCAUGAUUAUUGAUUCGCACUUAGUGCAAGAUGCAUAUGUUUAUCGGGUAUGAAAGGCUGAUCACCCUGAUUACCAAAGUAUUUGUUUAUGGUCAUUGUUGGCCACUCAACGUCAUUAAUUCAAUCAUUCAUGUAUUGAAAUUUGAUUCAUGCUCUUUCACAAUCAUUUUAUUGUUGAAAAUUUGAAGUUUAUUCCUUUUCAAUCAUGAUAUAUCCUUUUUGUGUAUUUAAACUUGCUUAGAAAAGUAGUUUCUCACUCUUGCUAUAUUAUGAUAAUAUUUUCAGUUAAGACGAAUGUUCGAAGAAAGACAGAGGCAAUGACAAGUACAAGAGUAGAUUAUUGUGCACCUUUAACUAUUAAGUUAUCUGAUGUAAAUUACUUCUGUAAACCUUUUGAAGAUUUUAAAGGUACUAAUGUAAGUUAAGGUUGUUAGACCUUGGGUUAUGUUGUAAGAGCUUAUUGUAUAAAUAAUUUAUGUUUAUAUAUUCCGCAGUAAUUAUAAAAUAUGUACGAAGAUGAUGUAUCGUGAUGCACCACAC